Molecule: long non-coding RNA, 281 nt
Filed under: Homo sapiens (human)
Lineage: Eukaryota; Metazoa; Chordata; Mammalia; Primates; Hominidae
Description: non-protein coding lnc-SMPX-4:1
Source: RNAcentral
GCCGGGUGCGGUGGCUCACACCUGUAAUCCCAGCACUUUGGGAGGCUGAGGUGGGCGGAUCACCUGAGGUCAAGAGUUCAAGACCAGCCUGGCCGACAUGAGGAAACUCUGUCUCUACUAAAAAUACAAAAAUUAGCUGGGCAUGGUGGCAGGCGCCUGUAAUCCCAGCUACUAGGGAGGCCAAGGCAGGAGAAUCACCUGAACCUGGGAAGUGGAGGUUGCAGUGAGGUGAGAUGGUGCCACUGUACUCCAGCCUGGGCAACAAGAGUGAAACUCCAUCU